UUGCCUGUGGCCUAGUGGGCAAGGUGACAGUCUUGGGAACAUGGGGUUGCAGGAUCAAGCCCAGCUAGGAACA
Molecule: transfer RNA, 73 nt
Filed under: Anguilla anguilla (European eel)
Lineage: Eukaryota; Metazoa; Chordata; Actinopteri; Anguilliformes; Anguillidae
Description: tRNA-OTHER
Source: RNAcentral